UACGAAGGGGGCUAGCGUUGUUCGGAAUUACUGGGCGUAAAGCGCGCGCAGGCGGUCUUCCAAGUCAGUGGUGAAAGCCCGGAGCUCAACUCCGGAACUGCCAUUGAAACUGUUAGACUUGAGGAUGAGAGAGGUGAGUGGAAUUCCCAGUGUAGAGGUGAAAUUCGUAGAUAUUGGGAAGAACACCGGUGGCGAAGGCGGCUCACUGGCUCAUUACUGACGCUCAGGCGCGAUAGCGUGGGGAUCAAGAAGG
Molecule: ribosomal RNA, 253 nt
Filed under: uncultured bacterium
Lineage: Bacteria
Description: partial 16S ribosomal RNA
Rfam family: Bacterial small subunit ribosomal RNA
Source: RNAcentral